AUACGGAGGGUGCAAGCGUUGUCCGGAUUUAUUGGGUUUAAAGGGUGCGUAGGUGGUUUUUUAAGUCAGUGGUGAAAGCCUACAGCUUAACUGUAGAGGUGCCAUUGAAACUGGAAAACUUGAGUAUGGACGAGGUAGGCGGAAUUUGUGGUGUAGCGGUGAAAUGCAUAGAUACCACAAAGAACACCGAUAGCGAAGGCAGCUUACUAGGCCAUAACUGACACUGAGGCACGAAAGUGUGGGGAGCGAACAGGAUUAGAAACCCUAGUAGUCC
This 274-nucleotide ribosomal RNA is filed under the name uncultured bacterium. Its description in RNAcentral is "partial 16S ribosomal RNA". It matches the Rfam family "Bacterial small subunit ribosomal RNA", at positions 523 to 796 of the family's 1533-position model. The record is from RNAcentral.